This 253-nucleotide ribosomal RNA is filed under the name uncultured bacterium. RNAcentral describes it as "partial 16S ribosomal RNA". It matches the Rfam family "Bacterial small subunit ribosomal RNA", at positions 524 to 776 of the family's 1533-position model. The record is from RNAcentral.
UACGGAGGGUGCAAGCGUUGUUCGGAAUCACUGGGCGUAAAGCGCGUGUAGGCGGCUCGGCAAGUCGAGUGUGAAAACCCAGGGCUCAACCCUGGAACUGCACCCGAAACUGCCUCGCUGGAGUCCCGGAGAGGGUGGCGGAAUUUCCGGUGUAGAGGUGAAAUUCGUAGAUACCGGAGGGAACACCAGUGGCGAAGGCGGCCACCUGGAUGGUGACUGACGCUGAGACGCGAAAGCGUGGGGAGCAAACAGG